This is a non-coding RNA of Sus scrofa (pig), 72 nucleotides long. NCBI's taxonomy places the organism in Eukaryota, Metazoa, Chordata, Mammalia, Artiodactyla, Suidae. The record is from Rfam.
UCCCUGGUGGUCUAGUGGUUAGGACUUAGCACUUUCACUGUUGCAGUCUAGGUUCAAUUCCUGGUCUGGGAA